AACGCACAUUGCGCUCUCUGGUAUUCCGGAGAGCAUGCUUGUUUGAGUAUCAGUAAAACACCCUCAGUUCUCUCGUUUUUCGAGGGAAUUGGACUUGAGUGAUCCCAACGGCAGUUUAAAAACCGCUGGCGGGUUGCUUGAAAUGCAGGUGCGGCUGGACACAUCUUCUGAGCUAUAAGCAUUACUUAUUUAAUCCCGUCAAACGGAUUAUUUCUAUUGCUGCAGCUAACAUAAAGGUUGAUUGUCCUUGUGCCCGACUGAUGCAGGAAAACAAAGAGAAAUCUUUGUUCAACUCGAUCUCAAAUCAAGUAAGACUACCCGCUGAACUUAA
Molecule: unclassified non-coding RNA, 331 nt
Filed under: uncultured fungus
Lineage: Eukaryota; Fungi
Description: sequence contains ITS2
Source: RNAcentral